RNAcentral lists this transfer RNA (68 nucleotides) under Rattus norvegicus (Norway rat). It matches the Rfam family "tRNA". Rfam says of the family: Transfer RNA (tRNA) molecules are approximately 80 nucleotides in length. Their secondary structure includes four short double-helical elements and three loops (D, anti-codon, and T loops). The record is from Rfam by way of RNAcentral. Lineage: Eukaryota; Metazoa; Chordata; Mammalia; Rodentia; Muridae.
GAGGAUUUAGCUCAGUGGUAGAGCGCUUGCCUAGCAAGCACAAGACCCUGGGUUCGGUCCCCAGCUCC